GCGAAACUACUAGGAUGGAGGAAACGACGGACGUGGAUGCAAAUACAAGGAUUUCAUGGCAUCCAAACCAACGAGUCUAUCCGGAAGCCCGACGCCGGUGGAAGUUAUGAACUGGAUCUCCGAAAUGGAGACAAUGUUUGAGAGUUGCGAGUCUAGCAACAGACAGAAAAUCGCUCUUGAAAUCUGGAGUACUGAGCUGGGGGAAGCUACUAGCUGAUUCUAUGCCUAAGGGAGAAGCUAGUAAGAAGUCUUUGCAGGAUUUUCUGGUGCAAUUGAAGAUACAAUACUGCUCUGAGCAGGAUCUUGUGGAAAUCAACAAUGGGUUCCAAAAUUUGAAGAAGGGAAGAAUGAGCGUUAUAGAAUACGCUGCAAGCUUUACGGAAAAGAUGAAGCCGGUUCCUUACCUAGUCCCAACCGAACUCUCCAAGGUUAACAAGUUUUCCCAUGGAUUACCAGCAGACUUUUGUCGAAUGGUCAAGCAAGCAACCACUUUGAAAACCGCUAUCUAGGCAGCCAGGAAUGUUGAGACCCAGAUUAAGGAAAGGGGUCUGGAGAGAGCUGAAUUUGGCGAGAGAAGGAAGCAUGAAGGAUCUUCAAAAUCCAACAAAGAAAGGAAAUUCUCAAAGACUGAUGAAGGAGGAGGAGGUGAAGCCAAGUGGUGUGAGAAGUGUUAAAAGAAGCACUUCAGGAAAUGUAGCGAGGAGGUGACUUGCUACAAACGUGGAAAUACAGGGCAUUACACUGAGAGAUUAAGGAGAUGGAAAUCACUAGUAAUAAUGAAUGUAAAUUCUGUUUAUGCUUAUGUUUCUGUAUUGACGAUGACAUCCCAAAUGUUUUAAAAUGAAUAAAAAUACUUUUCUUUGGAAAUGCUUUGAUAAUCAAAUUAUCAAAUUUUUCGUGGAACAAAUUCCGCAACGUUUUUAUUAAAAGUGAUACUCUGAUUUUUAUAAAGCAUAAACAGAAUCGGUCUUUUCUGGCUGUGAAAACUGGGAUGUCACAAUCUGUACCAGAGCAUUAGUUUAAGCGAACUAGGAAUAUGGAUUUAUUUCUAGACUUAAAAUUAGAAUGCUAAGCAAUGAUUGUGAGGAGUGUGUCUUAGGUAAUACACAUAAAUAGACACAAUCACUAGCUUAUUUAGGGAAAACGCCUAACAUGCUUUUAUGUGCUAAAUGAUUUAUGAUGAUUUAUGAUGCAAAAUGUAUGAUCGGAACUAUGGUCUGUUGCCGACCGGAUCUGGAAAUUUUACGUGUACUGAUUUGUAAACGUUUAAUUAUGUUAUUAGAACUGGCAUGUAACUUUUCGGCGUAAUAAGAAGAUUUACCCGUCAAUCGUAAAUAAAAUCUUUCCUAUCUUAAUUCUUGUCAUUUCGCACCGAACAUCUGAUCUGGUGUAUAGAUCAAAAUGGCUAGAACCCGAAGUGGAGACGGGAACGCGAAUGGAGAUAGGAAUCAACAGCCCCUAGUGGCUGAACAAAUACAUGUUGUAGUAACCGCACCUGAGCCAAUCACGAUGGUCGGGGUACAAGCGAUGAUCCAAAUGAUGUUGGAUCGUCAAAUGGAGGAAACAAGGCGUUUACUUCAACAAAACCGAGAAGAACGUACGGUACCAAUUGAACAGCCCGAGCUGAAUGAUGGGCAGUCAGAAGGAGAAAACUACAGUGGGACCAUUGGUCAAGCCAACCCACCGAUAGUUAGGCGAAACUACUAGGAUGGAGCAAACGACGGACGUGGAUGCAAAUACAAGGAUUUCAUGGCAUCCAGACCACCGAGUCUAUCCGGAAGCCCGACGCCGGUGGAAGUUAUGGACUGGAUCUCCGAGAUGGCGACAAUGUUUGAGAGUUGCGAGUGUAGCAACAGACAGAAAACCGCUGUUGAAAUCUGGAGUACUGAGCUGGGCGAAGCUACUAGUUGAUUCUAUGCCUAAGGGAGAAGCUAGUAAGAAGUCUUUGGAGGAUUUUCUGGUGCAACUGAAGAUGCAAUACUUCUCUGAGCAGGAUCUUGUGGAGAUCAACAAUGGGUUCCAAAAUUUGAAGAUGGGAAGAAUGAGCGUUAUAGAAUAAACUGCAUGCUUUACGGAAAAGAUGAAGCCGGUUCCUUACCUAGUCCCAACCGAACUCUCCAAGGUUAACAAGUUUGCCCAUGGAUUACCAGCAGACUUUUGUCGAAUGGUCAAGCAAGCAACCACUUUGAAAGCCGCCAUCUGGGCAGCCCGGAAUGUUGAGACCCAGAUUAAGGAAAGGGGUCUGGAGAGAGCUGAAUUUGGCGAGAAAAGAAAGCAUGAAGGAUCUUCAAAAUCAAAAAAAGAAAGGAAAUUCUCAAAGACUGAUGAAGGAGAAGGAGGUGAAUCCAAGUGGUGUGAGAAGUGUAAAAAGAAGCACUUCAGGAAAUGUAGCGAGGAGGUGACUUGCUACAAAUGUGGAAAUACAGGGCAUUACACUGAGAGAUUAAGGAGAUGGAAAUCACUAGUAAUAAUGAAUGUAAGUUCUGUUUAUGCUUAUGUUUUUGUAUUGACGAUGACAUCCCAAAUGUUUUAAAAUGAAUAAAAAUACUUUUCUUUGGAAAUGCUUUGAUAAUGAAAUUAUCAUAUUUUUCUGGGAACAAAUUCCGCAACGUUUUUAUUAAAAGAGAUACUCUGAUUUUUAUAAAGCAUAAACAAAAUCGGUCUUUUCUGGCUGUGAAAAUGGGGAUGUCACAGUUGGUACCAGAGCAUUAGUUUAAGCGAACUAGGAAUAUGGAUUUAUUUCUAGACAUAAACUUAGAAUGCUAAGCAAUGAUUGUGAGGAGUGUGUCUUAGGNUGUACCCGAGCAUUAGUUUAAGCGAACUAGGAAUAUGGAUUUAUUUCUAGACUUAAAAUUAGAAUGCUAAGCAAUGAUUGUGAGGAGUGUGGCUUAGGUAAUACACAUAAAUAGACACAAUCACUAGCUUAUUUAGGGAAUACGCCUAACAUGCUUUUAUGUGCUAAAUGAUUUAUGAUGCUUUAUGACGCUAAAUGUAUGAUCGGAUCUAUGGUCUGUUGCUGACCGGAUCUGGAAAUUUUACGUGUACAGAUUUCUAAACGUUUAAUUAUGUUAUUAGAACUGGCAUGUAACUUUUCGGCGUAAAAAGAAGAUUUACCCGUCAAUCGUAAAUAAAAUCUUUCCUAUCUUAAUUCUUGUCAUUUCGCACCGAACAUCUGAUCUGGUGUAUAGAUCAAAAUGGCUAGAACCCGAAGUGGAGUCGGGAACGCGAAUGGAGAUAGGAAUCAACAGCCCCUAGUGGCUGAACAAAUACCUGUUGUAGUAACCGCACCUGAGCCAAUCACGAUGGUCGGGGUACAAGCGAUGAUCCAAAUGAUGUUGGAUCGUCAAAUGGAGGAAACAAGGCGUUUACUUCAACAAAACCGAGAAGAACGUACGGUACCAAUUGAACAGCCCGAGCUGAAUGAUGGGCAGUCAGAAGGAGAAAACUACAGUGGGACCAUUGGUCAANCCACCGAUAGUUAGGCGAAACUAAUAGGAUGGCGGAAACGACGGACGUGGAUGCAAAUACAAGGAUUUCAUUGCAUCCAAACCAUCGAGUCUAUCUGGAAGCCCGACGCCGGUGGAAGUCAUAAACUGGAUCUCCGAGAUGGAGACGAUGUUUGAGAGNUCAAGCAAGCAACCACUUUGAAAGCCGCCAUCUGGGCAGCCCGGAAUGUUGAGACCCAGAUUAAGGAAAGGGGUCUGGAGAGAGCUGAAUUUGGCGAGAAAAGAAAGCAUGAAGGAUCUUCAAAAUCAAAAAAAGAAAGGAAAUUCUCAAAGACUGAUGAAGGAGAAGGAGGUGAAUCCAAGUGGUGUGAGAAGUGUAAAAAGAAGCACUUCAGGAAAUGUAGCGAGGAGGUGACUUGCUACAAAUGUGGAAAUACAGGGCAUUACACUGAGAGAUUAAGGAGAUGGAAAUCACUAGUAAUAAUGAAUGUAAGUUCUGUUUAUGCUUAUGUUUUUGUAUUGACGAUGACAUCCCAAAUGUUUUAAAAUGAAUAAAAAUACUUUUCUUUGGAAAUGCUUUGAUAAUGAAAUUAUCAUAUUUUUCUGGGAACAAAUUCCGCAACGUUUUUAUUAAAAGAGAUACUUUGAUUUUUAUAAAGCAUAAACAAAAUCGGUCUUUUCUAGCUGUGAAAAUGGGGAUGUCACAGUUGGUACCACAACAUUAGUUUAAGCGAACUAGGAAUAUGGAUUUAUUUCUAGACUUAAACUUAGAAUACUAAGCAAUGAUUGUGAGGAGUGUGUCUUAGGUAAUACACCUAAAUAGACACAAGCACUAGCUUAUUUACGGAAAACGCCUAACAUGCUUUUAUGUGCUAAAUGAUUUAUGAUGCUAAAUGUAUGAUCGGAUCUAUGGUCUGUUGCCGACCGGAUCUGGAAAUUUUAUGUGUCCAGAUUUCUAAACGUUUAAUUAUGUUAUUAGAACUGGCAUGUAACUUUUCGGCGUAAUAAGAAGACUUACCUGUCAAUCGUAAAUAAAAUCUUUCCUAUCUUAAUUCUCGUCAUUUCGCACCGAACAUCUGAUCUGGUGUAUAGAUCAAAAUGGCUAGAACCCGAAGAGGAGUCGGGAACGUGAAUGGAGAUAGGAAUCAAUAGCCCCUAGUGGCUGAACAAAUACGUGUUGUAGUAACCGCACCUGAGCCAAUAACGAUGGUCGGGGUACAAGCGAUGAUCCAAAUGAUGUUGGAUCGUCAAAUGGAGGAAACAAGGUGUUUACUUCAACAGAACCAAGAAGAACUUACGGUACCAAUUGAACAGCCCGAGCUGAAUGAUGGGCAGUCAGAAGGAGAAAACUACAGUGGAACUGUUGGUCAAGCCAACCCACCGAUAGUUAGGCGAAACUACUAGGAUGGAGGAAACGACGGACGUGGAUGCAAAUACAAGGAUUUCAUGGCAUCCAAACCAACGAGUCUAUCCGGAAGCCCGACGCCGGUGGAAGUUAUGAACUGGAUCUCCGAAAUGGAGACAAUGUUUGAGAGUUGCGAGUCUAGCAACAGACAGAAAAUCGCUCUUGAAAUCUGGAGUACUGAGCUGGGGGAAGCUACUAGCUGAUUCUAUGCCUAAGGGAGAAGCUAGUAAGGAGUCUUUGGAGGAUUUUCUGGUGCAACUGGAGAUGCAAUACUGCUCUGAGCAGGAUCUUGUGGAGAUCAACAAUGGGUUCCAAAAUUUGAAGAAAGGAAGAAUGAGCGUUAUAGAAUACGCUGCAAGCUUUACGGAAAAAAUGAAGCCGGUUCCUUACCUAGUCCCAACCGAACUCUCCAAGGUUAACAAGUUUGCCCAUGGAUUACGAGCAGACUUUUGUCGAAUGGUCAAGCAAGAAACCACUUUGAAAGCCGCCAUCUGGGCAGCCAGGAAUGUUGAGACCCAGAUUAAGGAAACGGGUCUGGAGAGAGCUGAAUUUGGCGAGAAAAGGAAGCAUGAAGGAUCUUCAAAAUCCAACAAAGAAAGGAAAUUCUCAAAGACUGAUGAAGGAGGAGGAGGUGAAGCCAAGUGGUGUGAGAAGUGUAAAAAGAAGCACUUCAGGAAAUAUAGCGUGGAGUUGACUUGGUACAAAUGUGGAAAUACAGGGCAUUACACUGAGAGAUUAAGGAGAUGGAAAUCACUAGUAAUAAUGAAUGUAAGUUCUGUUUAUGCUUAUGUUUCUGUAUUGACGAUGACAUCCCAAAUGUUUUAAAAUGAAUAAAAAUACUUUUGUUUGGAAAUUCUUUGAUAAUGAAAUUAUCAUAUUUUUCUGGGAACAAAUUCCG
RNAcentral lists this long non-coding RNA (5749 nucleotides) under Lactuca sativa (garden lettuce). Its description in RNAcentral is "long non-coding RNA (LSAT_LNC004834)". The record is from RNAcentral. Lineage: Eukaryota; Viridiplantae; Streptophyta; Magnoliopsida; Asterales; Asteraceae.